This is a long non-coding RNA of Mus musculus (house mouse), 1510 nucleotides long. RefSeq annotates it as predicted gene, 33404. The transcript has 3 exons. The record is from RefSeq and is a predicted model, not a curated record. NCBI's taxonomy places the organism in Eukaryota, Metazoa, Chordata, Mammalia, Rodentia, Muridae.
CCUUAGUGUGGGGGGGGACCUCCACAGCAACACGAGAGCCAGCUAUCUAGAAUUAGCCCUUCCAUACCUGGAAAGCUCGCUGGCCUUCUGAACUCAGAAUGUUCCAGUAAUUUGAAGUGACUAUUCAAUAUUUAAGACCAAGACCUUUCUAAUCAGUCUGUGAAGAGACAUGGCAGCAACCUUCCUCGGCCUAAGUGGUGAUGAGUACCCAACACAGCAAUUGCCAGGACACAUUAAAUGUGCUCCCUCAAAAAAUAAAAAGACAGAAGACCAUCUGUGUAGUAUCCAGCACUGAAUUCACUGUGGAAGAAAACUGAUGCUGCCUUCUGCUUGAAGCUUGGAGCUUUGGGGGCUACCGAGCAUCAAGGAUUCAAAUGUGAGAUUGCUGAAGAGCUCACUUACUCCCUGAACAUGCAUCCCUGGUCCCGGUUCGGCUUCUAAGCAGACAGACAGAAGUGGCUUAAUAAGUGCCUAUUGAGCUUGAACUGGGCUGAUGAGAGCUACCUGGCAGCGAGGAAGGAACCGUCUGGCUGUGCUCCAGAGAGAAGACAUGCAGGUUGUCCACAUCUGCAUGGUUGAAGCUGGGCUGCUGAAGUUCGUGUCCCAGGAGAGGAAACAGAUAGGCAUCAGAGCAAGCAGCCUUAUAUGUACUUUAUGACUUCGUCUGUGUCAUGUCCACUCUCUUGUCAUUGACCUGAAACUGGCCACGUAACCACAGAAAAGUAGGCUCUGGUUAAAUAACCAUGUACCUUGUUUAAAUUCAAAGAUGCCAGUCACUAAAUGAAAGGGUACUAGAAAUCCCACAUCUGACAAAGGAUCCAUAUCUAGAAUACAUAAGGAGCCCACAAAUUUUAGAAAAAAAAAUUCUUACCUCCAGAACAAGCAAUUUAACUAGAAAAUGUGUAAAUGUGUGUUUGUGUGUGUGUGUGUGUGUGUGUGUGUGUGUGUGUGUGUGUGUGUGUGUGUUACUACAGAAAAACAGCAGCUAAUCAUAAUGCCGAGUUGUGGCGCUCAGUUCUAGUGGAUACAUCUACAAAACACUCCUGAACUUAAGCCUCAGGGAGCAUCGCAGAAGAGGGGCAGAAAGACUACAAAGAGCCAGAGGAUCAGGGAAUUUGCUGUGAGAUUGUGACUCCUAAUAACAUCGGAUGCUUCACCCACAAGGUCUCAUCAACAUGUCUGUUCAAACGUGAACUGAACAAAGAUGAUACCAAUGAGCAUGACAAACCGGUGGGGGGGGGGGGGUGGAGCCCAUAAGGUCUCAGUCCUACACACACACACAAAUUAUAGGCAACUAAGAAAAGUUGAGAGCCAGAGAGGCGGUCUUCCCCAUGGUCAAGCAGACCAAUUGGUUUUCCUAUGCCAAAUAGUCAGUCCUGAAAACACACCUACAAGUAGCAUACAAACUCAACAAGCUAUAUUUAGAAGUAUAUAUGUGCAUAUACAAAUACAUAUAUGCAUGCAAUAACAAGUACUUAAAAAGACCAUGAAUUUGAGGGAGAGGAGUAUC